AAAUAGCCCCGAUUGAAGUGAAAAUCCUCCCGAUUUUUCUUCAGGAGAUUGUAACGGAAAGCGGGAGAAAUA
Molecule: small RNA, 72 nt
Filed under: Flavobacterium aquicola
Lineage: Bacteria; Pseudomonadati; Bacteroidota; Flavobacteriia; Flavobacteriales; Flavobacteriaceae
Description: Flavo-1 RNA
Rfam family: Flavo-1 RNA
Source: RNAcentral